CAAGUUGGCUGGGUGAUCGCGGUUGAGCGCUCGCAAGAGCGCUUGGCUGAGGAAAGUCCGCACUCCACAGGGCACGGCGCCGGCUAACAGCCGGGCGGGGCGACCCGACGGCAAGUGCAACAGAGAGGCAUAUUGCCAGCCAAACGGUCUUCCGUUUGGCCGGUGAGGGUGAAACGGUGGUGUAAGAGACCACCGGCGGCGGCCGUAAUGCCGCCGGCCAGGCAAACCCCGCCGGGAGCAAGACCAAGCAGGGCGAAGGGUUUUGCGGCUCGUCCGCCAAACCCACGGCGCGGCCCGCGCCGUCCGACGUUCGGGUAGGUUGCACGAGGGCAUUGGCAACAAUGCUCCCAGAUAGAUGAUCACCAGCGCCCACGUCCGCGUGAGCGCCGACAGAAUGCGGCUUAUAGGCUGACUUGGCAA
Molecule: RNase P RNA, 420 nt
Filed under: Candidatus Leptovillus affinis
Lineage: Bacteria; Bacillati; Chloroflexota; Ardenticatenia; Promineifilales (SeqCode); Promineifilaceae (SeqCode)
Description: RNase P RNA component class A
Rfam family: Bacterial RNase P class A
About the family: Ribonuclease P (RNase P) is a ubiquitous endoribonuclease, found in archaea, bacteria and eukarya as well as chloroplasts and mitochondria.
Source: RNAcentral